AGACUUUGUUCCCAUUUUUCCCAUCUGUCACCCCAUUGAGUGCCAGGGUUGAUUUGGCUGAUCUGGCUGGCGAGGCGGGUGUCCCCUUCCUCCCUCACCGCUCCAUGUGCGUCCCUCCCUAAGCUGCACGCUCAUUCAAAGAGGAUGACCACCCCCGAUAGAGGAGGACCAUUUCCUUGGUCAAAGGUACACAAGUAGCUGUGCUCGCCUGCUAAACCGCCAAACAAAUGUUCAGCAUGCAUCUGAUAAGGUUGCCUUGGGUAGUGAUAAACAUCCAGUCGCUAGGCAUU
Molecule: unclassified non-coding RNA, 290 nt
Organism: Fukomys damarensis (Damara mole-rat)
Lineage: Eukaryota; Metazoa; Chordata; Mammalia; Rodentia; Bathyergidae
Gene: 7SK
Rfam family: 7SK RNA
About the family: 7SK was discovered as an abundant small nuclear RNA in the mid-70s but a possible function has only recently been suggested. Two independent studies have found that 7SK RNA binds the CDK9/cyclin T complex (known as elongation factor P-TEFb). P-TEFb activates transcription by phosphorylating the C-terminal domain of RNA polymerase II.
Source: Ensembl